This 92-nucleotide ribosomal RNA is filed under the name Rhizobium sp. RHZ02. RNAcentral's name for it is "partial 23S ribosomal RNA". It matches the Rfam family "Bacterial large subunit ribosomal RNA", at positions 2841 to 2925 of the family's 2925-position model. The record is from RNAcentral. Lineage: Bacteria; Pseudomonadati; Pseudomonadota; Alphaproteobacteria; Hyphomicrobiales; Rhizobiaceae.
AAGACGACCACGUUGAUAGGCCGGGUGUGGAAGCGCAGCAAUGUGUGAAGCUUACCGGUACUAAUAGCUCGAUUGGCUUGAUCGUUCUCAUU